AAAGCGCGUGUAGGCGGUUUCUUAAGUCUGAUGUGAAAGCCCUGGGCUCAACCCAGGAAGUGCAUUGGAUACUGGGAGACUUGAAUACGGGAGAGGGUAGUGGAAUUCCUAGUGUAGGAGUGAAAUCCGUAGAUAUUAGGAGGAACACCGGUGGCGAAGGCGGCUACCUGGACCGAUAUUGACGCUGAGACGCGAAAGCGUGGGGAGCAAACAGGAUUAGAUACCCUGGUAGUCCACGCCGUAAACGAUGAGAACUAGGUGUUGCGGGUAUUGACCCCUGCAGUGCC
Molecule: ribosomal RNA, 287 nt
Filed under: uncultured bacterium
Lineage: Bacteria
Description: partial 16S ribosomal RNA
Rfam family: Bacterial small subunit ribosomal RNA
Source: RNAcentral